RNAcentral lists this non-coding RNA (29 nucleotides) under Mus musculus (house mouse). The record is from RNAcentral. Lineage: Eukaryota; Metazoa; Chordata; Mammalia; Rodentia; Muridae.
UGAAAGCAAAGUCUUAGAUUCCACAGAGG